RNAcentral lists this ribosomal RNA (253 nucleotides) under uncultured bacterium. RNAcentral's name for it is "partial 16S ribosomal RNA". It matches the Rfam family "Bacterial small subunit ribosomal RNA", at positions 524 to 776 of the family's 1533-position model. The record is from RNAcentral.
CACGUAGGUGGCAAGCGUUGUCCGGAAUUACUGGGUGUAAAGGGAGCGCAGGCGGAAUGGCAAGUUGAAUGUGAAAUCCCGGGGCUCAACCCCGGAACUGCGUUCAAAACUGCUGUUCUUGAGUGAUGUAGAGGUAGGCGGAAUUCCCGGUGUAGCGGUGGAAUGCGUAGAUAUCGGGAGGAACACCAGUGGCGAAGGCGGCCUACUGGGCAUUAACUGACGCUGAGGCUCGAAAGUGUGGGGAGCAAACAGG